AAGUCGUAACAAGGUUUCCGUAGGUGAACCUGCGGAAGGAUCAUUACCGAAGUCAAGGCCCCUUCGGGGGCUAAACUUCCACCCUGUGUUUACCUUACCAUUGUUGCUUUGGCGGGCCGCCUUAGGCCACCGGCUCUCGAGCUGGUGCGUGCCCGCCAGAGACCCCCAAACCCAAACCAUAUUUAGUGUCGUCUGAAAACAAGUUUAAAUUAUUAAAACUUUCAACAACGGAUCUCUUGGCUCUG
This 245-nucleotide unclassified non-coding RNA is filed under the name Chalara sp. RNAcentral describes it as "partial internal transcribed spacer region". The stretch from base 1 to 46 matches the Rfam family "Eukaryotic small subunit ribosomal RNA", at positions 1786 to 1831 of the family's 1831-position model. Lineage: Eukaryota; Fungi; Ascomycota; Leotiomycetes; Helotiales. The record is from RNAcentral.